CUUUGUUAACAGCCAUGAUUGCUAUCUUAGUUAAGGUGAUGUUAAAAUGAUGUAACAAAGAAAGCCCAAAAGAGAAGGGCUUAAAGAAUAUAGGCAUACAUUUCUCUCAUACAGCACAAUUCCAAAAUCUGUGGGCAGCUCUGCUGCAUAUCAUCAUCCAGGAAUAAAGACCAACAGCAUCUCUGUCAUCCUAACACAGGUCUUCUAAAGUAUGUACAGUAAAGGUUCAGUGGACCAGCUAGGAUAUGACACCACGCCAGGCUUGGGCUCACCUGCAGAAGAUUCUAUCUUUGCAGGCAACUCUCAUCAACUUCCAGAAAAAGAAUACAUUGGCAAGAUACAGGAUCAUUCAGAAAACUGCAGGAAAACUACAGCAUCCAGGCUCUGAAAGGAGCUCCCAGGACAGAAGCAGCAGGAAUCGACUGGAAGUCUU
This 433-nucleotide long non-coding RNA is filed under the name Equus caballus (horse). RNAcentral's name for it is "lncRNA (ENSECAG00000053012.1)". Lineage: Eukaryota; Metazoa; Chordata; Mammalia; Perissodactyla; Equidae. The record is from RNAcentral.